GAUGAACGCUGGCGGCGUGCCUAAUACAUGCAAGUCGAGCGAACAGACGAGGAGCUUGCUCCUCUGACGUUAGCGGCGGACGGGUGAGUAACACGUGGAUAACCUACCUAUAAGACUGGGAUAACUUCGGGAAACCGGAGCUAAUACCGGAUAACAUGUUGAACCGCAUGGUUCAACAGUGAAAGACGGUCUUGCUGUCACUUAUAGAUGGAUCCGCGCCGCAUUAGCUAGUUGGUAAGGUAACGGCUUACCAAGGCAACGAUGCGUAGCCGACCUGAGAGGGUGAUCGGCCACACUGGAACUGAGACUCGGUCCAGACUCCUACGGGAGGCAGCAGUAGGGAAUCUUCCGCAAUGGGCGAAAUCCUGACGGAGCAACGCCGCGUGAGUGAAGAAGGUCUUCGGAUCGUAAAACUCUGUUAUUAGGGAAGAACAAAUGUGUAAGUAACUAUGCACGUCUUGACGGUACCUAAUCAGAAAGCCACGGCUAACUACGUG
Molecule: ribosomal RNA, 497 nt
Filed under: uncultured bacterium
Lineage: Bacteria
Description: partial 16S ribosomal RNA
Rfam family: Bacterial small subunit ribosomal RNA
Source: RNAcentral